This 775-nucleotide ribosomal RNA is filed under the name uncultured Neocallimastigales. RNAcentral describes it as "partial large subunit ribosomal RNA". It matches the Rfam family "Eukaryotic large subunit ribosomal RNA", at positions 24 to 645 of the family's 3401-position model. Lineage: Eukaryota; Fungi; Neocallimastigomycota; Neocallimastigomycetes; Neocallimastigales. The record is from RNAcentral.
GUAGUCUCGCACAGAUGCAUAUCAAUAAGCGGAGGAAAAGAAACUAACUAGGAUUCCCUCAGUAACGGCGAGUGAAGCGGGAAGAGCUCAAAUUUGAAAUCUUCAAGGUUCUACCUUGACGAAUUGUAGUUUAAAGAAGUGUUUUCUGUUGGAGUUUUGGUAAAAGUUCUUUGGAAUAGGACAUCAUAGAGGGUGAGAAUCCCGUAUUUGACCAUUACUUUCCAGCUUUGUGAUACACUUUCAAAGAGUCGGAUUGUUAGGGAAUGCAGUCCAAAAUGGGUGGUAAAUUUCAUCUAAAGCUAAAUACUGGCGAGAGACCGAUAGCGAACAAGUACCGUGAGGGAAAGAUGAAAAGAACUUUGAAAAGAGAGUUAAACAGUACGUGAAAUUGUCAAAAGGGAAGCGUUUGACACCAGUGUUGUUUUCUCGAAAAUCAAUUAAAAAAGGCAGGAUUUUGUGUUGUAUUGACUUUAUCAGCUUUCUGCACUCUUUUCUUGUCUUUUUUAAUGCACUUUUCGUUUAACAAGUCAACAUCAAUUUCUUUUGUUGUAAAAGGGUCAUUGGAAGGUGGCUUUCUUUUCGGAGAAAGUGUUUAUAGCCUUUGGCCUCUGCAAUCGGAGAGAUUGAGGUCUGCAGCGUAGAUCCUUCGGGGUUAGAUACAUUUGUGCUAAGUUAUAGCCUUUCAUAGACAACUUGUUGACUAUGAUCAGUCAUGUAGCUUACUCGCUUAUGCUAUUUUACCUACGCUUAGGAUGUUGAAGUCAUCGUAUCGCGC